AUUGAACGCUGGCGGCAGGCUUAACACAUGCAAGUCGAGCGGGUGAUGGUGCUUGCACUAUCACUUAGCGGCGGACGGGUGAGUAAUGCUUAGGAAUCUGCUUAUUAGUGGGGGACAACAUCUCGAAAGGGAUGCUAAUACCGCAUACGUCAUACUGGAGAAAGCAGGGGAUCUUUAUGAACUUGCGCUAAUAGAUGAGACUAAGUCGGCUUAGCUAGUUGGUGGGGUAAAGGCCUACCAAGGCGACGAUCUGUAGCGGGUCUGAGAGGAUGAUCCGCCACACUGGGACUGAGACACGGCCCAGACUCCUACGGGAGGCAGCAGGGGGGAAUAUUGGACAAUGGGGGGAACCCUGAUCCAGCCAUGCCGCGUGUGUGAAGAAGGCCUUAUGGUUGUAAAGCACUUUAAGCGAGGAGGAGGCUCUUUUGGUUAAUACCCAGAAUGAGUGGACGUUACUCGCAGAAUAAGCACCGGCUAACUCUGUGCCAGCCGCCGCCGUAA
RNAcentral lists this ribosomal RNA (501 nucleotides) under uncultured bacterium. RNAcentral describes it as "partial 16S ribosomal RNA". It matches the Rfam family "Bacterial small subunit ribosomal RNA", at positions 30 to 523 of the family's 1533-position model. The record is from RNAcentral.